Molecule: ribosomal RNA, 407 nt
Filed under: uncultured bacterium
Lineage: Bacteria
Description: partial 16S ribosomal RNA
Rfam family: Bacterial small subunit ribosomal RNA
Source: RNAcentral
GACGAACGCUGGCGGCGUGCCUAAUACAUGCAAGUAGAACGCAGUUGCGAACGGGUGAGUAACGCGUAGGUAACUGCCUCAUAGCGGGGGAUAACUAUUGGAAACGAUAGCUAAUACCGCAUACUGUGAGAUGGACCUGCGUUGUAUUAGGUUGUUGGUGAGGUAAAGGCGCACCAAGGCGACGGUACAUAGCCGACCUGGGAGGGUGUGCGGCCAAAAUGGGACGGAGAAACGGCCCAGACUCCCACGGGAAGGAGCAGUAGGGAAACGUCGGAAAUGGACGGAAGUCUGACCGAGCAACGCCGCGUGAGUGAAGAAGGUUUUCGGAUCGUAAAGCUCUGUUGUUAGAGAAGCGGUAACUAAAGAGAAAGGGACGGCUAACUACGUGCCAGCAGCCGCGGUAAUAC